Molecule: long non-coding RNA, 1365 nt
Filed under: Pogona vitticeps (central bearded dragon)
Lineage: Eukaryota; Metazoa; Chordata; Lepidosauria; Squamata; Agamidae
Description: lncRNA (ENSPVIG00000021336.1)
Source: RNAcentral
AUGUCAUUCCACGUAAAACUCCCAUCUGCGCCAGCCGCGCCGCCGCCGCCGCCUCAGCCGCCGCGAGAAGAGGUGGGUGGAAAAAGAGAGCAGCUUCUGAGGGUGCAAACUUUCUUCCCCCCCCCCUCUCCUCUUUUCCCUCCCUGGCUUCUGCCGCCUCGGCGAAGCAGCCUUCUGGGCGCGCGCGCGCGCGUGCCCUUUCCUCUUCACCUUCAUUCUCCUCCUGCAGCAGCAGGAGCUGCUGCUUUUUCCUCACUCCGCCUCCCCAGCGCUUUUUGGACUCUCAUACACUCACACAUUUGGGCUGCUGUUAAGAGCGGGUUCCCGGGCUUGUGGAGCUGCUGGAGGGGAGAGCGAGCGAGCAAGCGGGCGGGCAGGCCGGGAAGGUGGAGGAGGAGCAGCAGUCAAGCGCCCUCCCCUCUCUUUCGCUCUCUCUCUCUCUCCCCCCCCCCCCCCCCCCCCCCGGNNNNNNNNNNNNNNNNNNNNNNNNNNNNNNNNNNNNNNNNNNNNNNNNNNNNNNNNNNUCUCCCCUGCCGCCUCAGGAGGAAAGGGAAUAACUCGAGAGCUACAAGAACUGUCCACACACCCCAAACCCCCCUCUCUCCCUCUUUGGCCGGCUCUCCCAUCCAGUAUCUGGAGCGCCAGAGCCGCUGUCAUGCCUCGCUUUCUCGCAGAGACGACCGAGGGGCGGCCAGGAGGGAGGGAAGGGGGAGGAGGCGGGUAGCACAGGCUGGCGAGCGGGCAAGGCCGAGCUGCACGCAUCAUCAUCGGGCGGAGGGAAGCGCUGCCUCUAAUAGAGAAAACGGGGCGGGCAGUUUCCGUCCUCGCUCCGCCGCCGUUUCCUUCCUUCCCUCCCUCCCUCCGUCCCUCUCUCCUCCCCCCUCUCUCUACUGUACCUACUGUAUGCGCGCCUUUCCCGUGCCCUCAUUGGCACCCGCGCCGUCUCUCUCUCUCUCGACCUUUUCGUCCCCAGUCCAGCGUCGCAUACAACAGGUUUUUGUUUCUUUUCUUUUUUUCCUCCAAUCUCCUCCCUCUCUCCCUCCCGCCCUGGCCCGUGUCUCUACACGUGCGAACUGGAGAAGCCUGAACCGGGGUCGCUUUCUAAAGUUCAUAAGGCUGCUCUGGGUGAGAAAACAGCGAAGGCAAAAGAGAGGCGAAAUAAAGGCUUCGUGGCUUUUAUUAAAUUCUCUGUGCGUGCUUUUCAAAUGGCAGGUGCCCCUUGUUUAUGAGGGGGAAAUAGAAUUUGAAAGGAAUAGCGAGAAAGGAACGACACGGGUCCGUGUGUCAUGGCAGGCUUUUUCGGUGGCUUCUGAGAGGCCAAGGUGGUGCCCACAACGUUCAUCCUUCCCACUUUAUUCCUCAUAA